Molecule: ribosomal RNA, 386 nt
Filed under: uncultured bacterium
Lineage: Bacteria
Description: bacterial SSU rRNA
Rfam family: Bacterial small subunit ribosomal RNA
Source: RNAcentral
AUUGAACGCUGGCGGCAUGCCUUACACAUGCAAGUCGAACGGCAGCACGGGGGCAACCCUGGUGGCGAGUGGCGAACGGGUGAGUAAUACAUCGGAACGUGCCCGGUAGUGGGGGAUAGCUCGGCGAAAGCCGGAUUAAUACCGCAUACGACCUACGGGUGAAAGCGGGGGACCGCAGGGCCUCGCGCUAUUGGAGCGGCCGAUGUCAGAUUAGGUUGUUGGUGGGGUAAAGCCCACCAAGCCGACGAUCUGUAGCUGGUCUGAGAGGACGACCAGCCACACUGGGACUGAGACACGGCCCAGACUCCUACGGGAGGCAGCAGUGGGGAAUUUUGGACAAUGGGCGCAAGCCUGAUCCAGCCAUGCCGCGUGCGGGAAGAAGGCCU